Molecule: ribosomal RNA, 101 nt
Filed under: Vibrio cholerae
Lineage: Bacteria; Pseudomonadati; Pseudomonadota; Gammaproteobacteria; Vibrionales; Vibrionaceae
Description: partial 23S ribosomal RNA
Rfam family: Bacterial large subunit ribosomal RNA
Source: RNAcentral
UCCUAAAGGGUUGUUCGAGACUAGAACGUUGAUAGGCAGGGUGUGUAAGCGUUGUGAGGCGUUGAGCUAACCUGUACUAAUUGCCCGUGAGGCUUAACCAU